UGGGGAAUAUUGCACAAUGGGCGCAAGCCUGAUGCAGCCAUGCCGCGUGUGUGAAGAAGGCCUUCGGGUUGUAAAGCACUUUCAGCGGGGAGGAAGGCGAUAAGGUUAAUAACCUUGGCAAUUGACGUUACCGACAGAAGAAGCACCGGCUAACUCCGUGCCAGCAGCCGCGGUAAUACGGAGGGUGCAAGCGUUAAUCGGAAUUACUGGGCGUAAAGCGCACGCAGGCGGUUUGUUAAGUCAGAUGUGAAAUCCCCGGGCUCAACCUGGGAACUGCAUCUGAUACUGGCAAGCUUGAGUCUCGUAGAGGGGGGUAGAAUUCCAGGUGUAGCGGUGAAAUGCGUAGAGAUCUGGAGGAAUACCGGUGGCGAAGGCGGCCCCCUGGACGAAGACUGACGCUCAGGUGCGAAAGCGUGGGGAGCAAACAGG
RNAcentral lists this ribosomal RNA (429 nucleotides) under Chloroflexota bacterium. RNAcentral's name for it is "Chloroflexi bacterium partial 16S ribosomal RNA". It matches the Rfam family "Bacterial small subunit ribosomal RNA", at positions 355 to 776 of the family's 1533-position model. Lineage: Bacteria; Bacillati; Chloroflexota. The record is from RNAcentral.